Non-coding RNA from Massospora cicadina, 76 nucleotides. The record is from the annotation of a GenBank genome assembly. NCBI's taxonomy places the organism in Eukaryota, Fungi, Entomophthoromycota, Entomophthoromycetes, Entomophthorales, Entomophthoraceae.
GUGGGGGUGAAAGGUGAGUUGGUAGGGCGUAUGGCUACCAAUCUAAAGGUUGCAGGUUCAAUUCCCACCCUCCACA